Molecule: long non-coding RNA, 1516 nt
Organism: Amphiprion ocellaris (clown anemonefish)
Lineage: Eukaryota; Metazoa; Chordata; Actinopteri; Pomacentridae
Exons: 2
Source: RefSeq, a predicted model, not a curated record
CAGAGACCAUGUGAGUUGCCCUCCACACAUGUUCUAAAAAUGACACCAUGAAAUUCCUUAUAAAAAAAUUAUAGUUGCUGUUCUUUUAAAAUCAAAAAUACUUACAUUAAUGCAGAUUUUAAAUUACAAUAUUUAUUAUAAUUUAAAAAAAAAAAAAAAAAAAAAAAACGUCUUCGGUGUAAAUGAACUUUGACCUUGUCCGAGUUCAGAGUCAGAGUUCACUGCGCAUGUCAAACCACCACGUCACUCUGCUGAAGUGUCCGGGUGCAGACACUUUGGGAAGCUGGAUGUGGUUUUUACCCCCCAAAACAUGACAGAGAAGUGAAAGAGAAAACACUAUUUUCACGAUGACUGGGAGGAAGAGUUCUUUUUUCAGGACAGUGAAAGAUAAAUGUAUGUGUCCUAUUUGCGGGGCGACUAUUGCGUCGGCAAAGCGGCACAAUGUGGAGAGACGCUACUUUACCCACCACAAAGCUUCCAUGCUAACUAGCCACCUGCUAGCGCACAUAGACUGUAUGCGCAAUACGGACAGAAAAAGGGGCUCCCUACAUGACGUGUCGCCAUGCAGGCUUCACUGUACGAUGCAGAGGUGAUCCAGACUUCCCAGCAUUCCUACAUUACCACUGCAUCAUUCACCAGCAGGCCAUAUGUAUGUACAAAAGUGGCCGGAUUUGAUCAUGUGAUGACUCGUGUCAUGAAGAUCAUAAAUGGCUCCGAAGCCAAACAACCAGGACAUUGAAGAUGCUGCUGGAGGAGCUGUCAGCUGAACAUGAUGAUCUGUUACUACACACAGAAACCCCAUGGAUCAGCAGGGGGACAGUUUUGCAGCGUUUUUUGUCACUGUUGGCCGAAAUGAAAGAGUUGACGCAAUCCAAAGGGGAAGACACCUUGCUGCUUGAUGACACCGAGUGGAUUCUUGCCCUUGUAUUUUUAAUGGACAUCACUGGGAAACUGAACCAUCUGAACUGUGAGCUGCAAGGUAAAGCCACUGGGCCUGAUUGCUAACAGGCUGGCCCUGCGGUCCUCUCGCUUUGACUUCACUGUGUGGUGUGCAACAGAAACCGCAAACAGACCCCAGCCCAGCCAUCAGCGAGCUCCCAGCAACCCCGGUGGAUCCGUACAGUUGCUGCCGGAUUCACGGGAUUUGGCCAGGUUCAAAAUGACUUUAAUGACACGUUCUGCACGUUAUAGCACAGAUAAAUGCCACUCUCAGUUUUUCUUUCAAUCAGUCUCUGUUCUUUUUCUUGUGUUGGCUUGAGGACGAUGGGGGUUACAGACCUAUAUUCUCCAUCCAAGCCUGGAGGAUGACCUCAUGGGGCCUGCAGCUGCCAUCACCAUUCUCGCAGGAGUUAAUAGGAACAGUAUGUAGCCUCUGGAAAAGACUGCCUCCUUCUCUUUUCCUUCUUUCUUUUUCUGUCCCCACCAUUAGAAUUCGAGAGAGCCAAUACUCUGCCUUCAUUAUUUAUUUAUAUAUUUAUUUUUUUACUUUUCUCAGAAACCGCUUUUUUUUUUUUUU